GGGUUAAUUAUAAAUUAGAUCACUUAUUACGCUAGAAAAUAUCAAGUGGGUCACUGGGAAAUUUUUGAUCUCAUUUGAAUCACUAAAGUCAUCAAAAAUAUCAAAUUGAUACCUCUAAUAUCUUUUCGAGGAGUAAAUUUUAUUUUUCAUUGAGUUUCACACAUUUUUCAUAGCUGUGAGUAUAAUCAAAUGAAAGAUUAUAAAUUCUAGUAUUUAUGAUAAUAUAUUCAGAUUUUAAGAAAUUUAUUUACUAUUUGUUUUUAAUUUUACAAUUAUUUUGUUUAAUUUAUAU
This 292-nucleotide long non-coding RNA is filed under the name Daucus carota (carrot). Its description in RNAcentral is "long non-coding RNA (DCAR_LNC003516)". Lineage: Eukaryota; Viridiplantae; Streptophyta; Magnoliopsida; Apiales; Apiaceae. The record is from RNAcentral.